This 131-nucleotide small RNA is filed under the name Salmonella enterica. Its description in RNAcentral is "RtT sRNA". It matches the Rfam family "RtT RNA". Rfam says of the family: This family represents a bacterial cis-regulatory element known as RtT RNA. The exact function of RtT is unknown although it is thought that it may be involved in changing the cellular response in relation to amino acid starvation. The record is from RNAcentral. Lineage: Bacteria; Pseudomonadati; Pseudomonadota; Gammaproteobacteria; Enterobacterales; Enterobacteriaceae. RNAcentral also lists the same sequence under 2 other names.
AUCUCUCCGUACGGGGAAGGAUGAGAAGCUUCGACUAAGGUUCGAUUCGAGCGAAAGCGAGAAAGCGUUGCCGCAGGCAACGACCCGAAGGGCGAAGCGCGCAGCGCUGAGUCAUCCUUCCCCCACCACCA